AGUAACGCGUGAGCAAUCUGCCUUUAAGAGGGGGAUAACAGUCGGAAACGGCUGCUAAUACCGCAUAAAGCAUUAAAUUCGCAUGUUUUUUGAUGCCAAAGGAGCAAUCCGCUUUUAGAUGAGCUCGCGUCUGAUUAGCUGGUUGGCGGGGUAACGGCCCACCAAGGCGACGAUCAGUAGCCGGACUGAGAGGUUGAACGGCCACAUUGGGACUGAGACGCGGCCCAG
RNAcentral lists this ribosomal RNA (228 nucleotides) under uncultured bacterium. Its description in RNAcentral is "partial 16S ribosomal RNA". It matches the Rfam family "Bacterial small subunit ribosomal RNA", at positions 109 to 334 of the family's 1533-position model. The record is from RNAcentral.